CCUACGGGAGGCAGCAGUGGGGAAUAUUGCGCAAUGGGCGAAAGCCUGACGCAGCGACGCCGCGUGGGGGAUGACGGCCUUCGGGUUGUAAACCUCUUUCAGCAGGGACGAAGCGCAAGUGACGGUACCUGCAGAAGAAGCACCGGCCAACUACGUGCCAGCAGCCGCGGUAAUACGUAGGGUGCAAGCGUUGUCCGGAAUUAUUGGGCGUAAAGAGCUCGUAGGCGGUCUGUCGCGUCGGCUGUGAAAUCCCGAGGCUCAACCUCGGGUCUGCAGUGGAUACGGGCAAACUGGAGGGUUGCAGGGGAGACUGGAAUUCCUGGUGUGGCGGUGAAAUGCGCAGAUAUCAGGAGGAACACCGGUGGCGAAGGCGGGUCUCUGGGCAACAACUGACGCUGAGGAGCGAAAGCGUGGGGAGCGAACAGGAUUAGAUACCCGAGUAGUC
Molecule: ribosomal RNA, 445 nt
Filed under: uncultured Blastococcus sp.
Lineage: Bacteria; Bacillati; Actinomycetota; Actinomycetes; Geodermatophilales; Geodermatophilaceae
Description: bacterial SSU rRNA
Rfam family: Bacterial small subunit ribosomal RNA
Source: RNAcentral